UCCGGGGCGUCUGAUGAGCGGGGCCGUAGAUGUGGGACGAUGGGCCUGUCCGUCGCCGCUGCAACAAAUGUGUUCUCUUUCAGGAUACAGUGAUACUGAGGAAAUGGAAUGCAAAUGUCCUCCACUGCCUCUGCUUUUUAGGCUGAAGAUAACACACACUCUGCCUUCUCCAUCCUCCCAUAAAACUGUCAGUUAGUAUUGAGCACUUUAGGCCUUGAUUUUUAGGUGGAGUCAAAUAAAAUUAUUGUCAUGUUGGACACUGAAGAAAAGGUAAACGAUAUCGUGUCUGUUGUUGGAUCAAAAAUGUCUUGCACCUCAUAGUUCCUUUCUCCAAUGUAUAUGGAUGUUACAAAAAGCAGUUUUACCAAGUGGUAAGUUCUUUUCCUGUUUUUUCAUUACCUUAGGCGAAAUCUGCUACAAUAAUUUCUGCUGAGGAGAAAUGAGGGGUGUGGGGUUUUUUUUGUUUGUUUUUGUUGUUUUUCCAGAAGGUUUGGGAUGUAUAAUUUUGGAAGAACAGCUGUCUAGUUAAGGAUUUAAAACUAAAUCUAGGCUACAUCUGAUCAGCUGGAAGCUCUUCAUAUUAAGCCAAAGCAGUAAGUAUUUUGAAUUAGUGCUUAGAUAAUUGAUCUUCAUCCUGUGAAAGAUAGUUCCGCAUAUUAUCUGCUGUCUUGUCAGAGAUGAGUCAGCCUGCCUUUUUUUGUAUUUGACAGGUUUCCUGACCAACAAACAGCAGUGAGUGGACAGAUUCUAGAUACCACUUUCUUCGAUGGAUUUGUGGGGAAGCUUGCUUUGUACACCUUCACUGUGCAUUGGGUCAGCAUAGCUGUCCCCUAUUUUUAGGAACACACAACUUAUUUUUCUUCUAGUGUUUGCCUAAAGAAGAUGGGCUGCUUCUUCCCCUGAAGACAUAGGUUGAUGCUUUUGUAACAGCAAUUUUGAGUUAUCAGAGAAUGUCACCUUUAUUUAAAAAAAAAAGGGGGGGGGACAAUUGCAAUAUCAAGUUGGUUUGUAAGUCCAGUGCAUGGUAAGUGGUACACUUGAACCUCCAUAACUGAGGUAUCCAUGAUCCAAGAACACUUAAGGUUUGUACCCUGGCAGUGGGAUAGCAAGUAGUUCUGCAUGUGCUGCUCUCCUUCCCUCUCAGCUGGGAGAAUGGCAGUGCAGUGAUCCAUGGUCUGGAGGCUCCCCUUCCCUCUCACCCCACUCGGUUAUUAGCACAGGGUGGUAUUUGGGAGCAGUAGGGGGCAUGGAGCCACUACCCUGGGAAGUGCCCCGUGCCCAACCCCUUCACACACUCCCCUUUCAGACUCCACUCCUCCGCCCUUACCACCUUUCAUUAUGGUGAACACCUAUGGUAUGGAAAAUUCCAUAAUCUGGCAUGGCCUAUUUCCCAAAAUUAUGGGAUUAAGAGAUUAAGUGUAUAGACUAGAUUGUAUUACAUAAUUUAACUUUUUUUCCCCUCUUAAGAUUGUAAAGCUCUACACUAGUAUCUGCAGCUAUCAGUGAUGUUCAUUAAUCACACUUGCCAUAUCUUUCAGAAGUUUCACUUAUAUAUUUCACAGAUGCAAUGUGACAGUUUUCUAAAAUUAUUUUUCAAUUUAAAGACAACAAACACCAGCAUUAUGUUUCCAAGUUUCUUCAUAUUCAGAUACUGUAUUGCUGACUAGUGUGACAGGAAAUGGUGCUGCAGUAGUAGAAGUGCUGUCUUUUUAGGUAAUAUGGUAAGUUUUCAAGUGGCUUUUCAGUUGAAGACAGAGCUUUUGACACUUCUCAAAAUGUGUGAAUCCUUUUGUCUUUUCUAAUACUGCUUUGGUAGCAAACUUGUUUCACGGUCUGUACAGCAGCUCAGCCCAUAAGUAUUGUCUGUACUUGUGCUGUUACUAUAACUCUUUGAUAGGAAGACACACUAGAUUGCCACACUUGUGAAAGUAACUGUAGUUCAUAUAUUUCAUCUAACUUUCUGAACAGCUGAAGAAAGAGUCCUUGAAAAUCCAAGUUUCUGGGGAGCAUACUCUUUGCUUAAUAGAACAAAAAUGGAGCAAAAUUGUCUGCAUGGAGGUAGAGCCUUUCUGGGAAGGAAACACAGGCAUUUGGAUGUGUAUAAUCACUUCUAGGCUUUUCAGUAUUUUGGUUAAAAUGGAAUAAGUAUAAGCAGACAUCUAAACAAGUUCAUCUGCAGAAAUUCAAGUAAGACUGUAGCUCUUCAGAAAACCUUGUCUUUCAGGAAAUUCUUUGUGAAUUCUAACUUCUUUGCAGACUCCAUAUAAUGAAAGCAAAUCCACACCAAUGUAACGUGCUAGUCCCCAGAUGAGACUGUCUGUGUAUAAAUUCAGAGAUGUGGUUCCUCCUUGAACAUGGCCAUGGUAGAUGAAACUGUCAAGUAUAUCAGCUACCGUUUGUUGAUUUAAAAAAAAAAUCAGCUCGUGUGUGUACCAAGUCUAAAGUACAGUGGUGUCUAUCCCUGAUGCCAAAGGAAUAUUGAAUUUGGAGAUAGAGCUGCAAAGUUUUUUUUUUUUUAAAUAACACUUGUUGGAAAAUGUCCAAAGGACUAUGUCUAAACGUUCUCAGGAAAUUCUGAAAAGUUUUAAAUCAAGCUGAGCUGACCAUUUCCCUUUUUGGAAAUAAAAAGGGAUUCAUUUUUUUCCCCCUGCCAUGUUGCUUUUCCAGUUGUAAAAUCAAAAAGAUAUUUUAACCAACUUCACCUACUUCCUCUUUAUUUUUGUCCCUCCCCCUUUUUCCCACUGGGAGAAGAUAGAAUGUUGACAAUUACUCACACAGAGCCCCCAAAGAAAAUGAACUUUCUUAGGGGGCAGGGAUGUUGGUCAAAAUGAGGUAGCAUUUUGGAAGUAAAAUUUCAGGAAAAAACUUUGGUAUUUUGACUAACUUCCGGGGGGGGGAGGAAGGACCCUUGUUGCAGAAACAAUUUUUUAAAUAUAGUUUUCAGCUGUUGAAAUUGAACUAAUAAUAAUCUUGUGUCUUUCAGCUUAAGGAUGCCAUGGAGCUUUAACUGAAGAAUCUUUUCAUACGUCAUGAAUGUGGCUUCUCAGUUCAAUAGCAUUUACACAAGAACAAGAACAUUUGCAUUGCUGGAGAAUUCAUCGCAGAGUACAAUGUAUUAUGUUCCAGUGAGGAUUUUUCUCCACCAAAUGUGCACCAGGUGUGGAGCAGGCAGGCUGAGGCAGGCAGGAUCCAAGUGAGAAGAGAUUCAGUGUUGGAAAUCCAGGUGAGGGAUGAGAGUGUUCUGUGUGGGACAAUCUGGGUGCAGACAGCUCAGUGGGGUUCUAGGUGUGUGGGGGAUCUGGAUGUACAAAAGCUCGUUGUGCAGGUUCCAGGUGCAGGGGCAUUGAGACUCUGCAGGGGCUUCCAUGUGAAGGUGGGUGGGGCUCAGUGGAGAGGUCAGGGUUUGGAGGUCUCAGUGGAGGGUCUGGGUGCUGGGGGAGUGAGGCGUGGUCGGGUGGGAAUCUGGGUGCAGCUAGUUGGGAGUCAGUGGCAUAGGGAUCUGAAUGUGGGGGCUCAGGGAAUGGGGCUCAGAGUGGGGGUCUGAGUGCAGGGAGUUUGGUGAGGGGCAGUGUUCCCUGUAAGCUGAGCACCUGGGCACCCACCCCAGAGAGAUUCAAAUGCCACCCAGCUGAUUAGCAGGGUACCCACCUUCAGGGAGCAGCAUGUUUUUCUACUGGUGAUGCACAUCCACACAUGCCUUAGUGCACAUGAAAUUUACUCUUAACAUGGAUGGAAAAGAGAACAUUGGUGGGUGGUGGUUUGUGUGUAGGCAUGGGGGUCCAGAGGCAGAGGGUCUGGGUUAAUUGGGGCUCUAGAUGCAGGGGUUGAGGUUCAGUGGGAUGGGGUUCAGGAAUGGAGGCUAGGGGGUUUCUGGGUAUACUGGGUGACGCUUGGCAGGGAUGUCUGUAUAGGAGGUCACAAUGCAUGGGCAUAGGUAGAUAGGGGAACAACUCUCCAUACAGUGGUCCCUCUCCCCACAGUUGAGGAGCAGUGGGGACAGGAAGCAGGGGAGGAUGCUGUACUUCAUACAAUUGGUGGAAGGUUUGGGGUGGUUCUGAUGCAGCUCUAGCUACUCAUUGCAGGGGAAGCGAAAGUCCUUUCCUCUCCCCCUCCAACCCAUCUAGGACUAGCGGCUGAUCCCAGCUCCCCAUAGGAGGCACUGGCUGGGGUGUCCCCAGUCCAGUGGUGAUUUAUUCCUGUGCUUGCUGCUCUGGAUGCCCGAAAUGAUGUAUCUGUACUGCUAGGGAGUGAUGCAUGACUGCUCUUGCAGCUCCCCUUUGCUUCCCUGUCAGAAAAUCAUUUUUCUGUGUGAAAGAAAAGAAAUUGGCAGGGAACAUGAAUUCUGCCCAUGCAUGCUGGCACCAAAUCCUCCCAGGAAUACUCUGUGUUCUACAAAGGAUGAGGAUCAUCAACUGCUUAAGGAAGGGAUUUCAAAGUAAGGAAACUAUGGAAUCAUUGCUUUUCCUCUUCUGUGGAUUUCUACCCCUUUGCAUCCAGUUUCCCAUUGCUUCUGGGCACUAGUAGCAUCUCAGCCACAGUAACUGGAAAUUAUUUCCCACUAGCUCUCCAUUUCAUUCCAUUACCUAACAUCUUACACUGUAUCUUUACGACAACAGUCCAGUUGCCCUGCUUGCUUCCUGCUCUUGGUUCAUAUGCAAGUUGAAGAUCUAUACAGACAGAGUGCACCAGGUAGAAAUAGCACGGAAUGUCUUUGUACUAAAGAGAGUGAACAUCUGUAAAAGCUGCUGAAACAAGGAGAAGGCAGCCCCAUGUGACUACCUAUUUCUCUGCCAGUCACCAGUAAAUGCUGCCAGUGGUUAUUGAACCACAACUUUGGAUCAUGGGGUGUGACAUUCCACAGGAUACAAUCUUUAUUGUUGAAUGUUCCCUCAAUUCUCCACCCUAGGGUACCUUUUACACUGCUUUGCUGUGCAAGCAAUCACACCUGAUCAGCUCAAACACACUCUGCUUCCAGCAGGUCAAAUGAUUUCAAAGCAAAGGUGUCUCUCACCACAUGCUCCAGCAGUCUUACUGGCUGUGCUUCUUGUAGCCAGGAUCCCUCCACCAAUUCACUGUUAAUUUCCUUGUGGUUUUGAUGCUGUGAACAGAGAGAAAUUUUCUUCUUCCUUGAUAGUCAUCUCCAGCUGGGAUUCAGGAGACAAGUCAGUGUGUGAGGAUGGAAAGUGCCAACUUUUCAGUGCCAAAAUGCAGAUUCCUUACUCAGACCUUUUUUCCUGCCAACAAAUGGCCAUUUAACAAGGUGAUAAUCCAUUUGAUUUUGUUGACUGGCUGUGGUGUCAGUUUGCCUUUUGUCAGUAAGGAAGUGGUCUCUCACUGCUUUUCUAAACUCGGAACACGUCUCAAUGUUAUACAGUCGUAUUUUAUAACUUUACAUACAGUGUGGCCACAUAUAUUUUUCCGGGACAAUAAUGAUCUGCACAUGGUGAGUUUUCAAGUAACACCUCACAAGGCAAAAUGCAGGACAAUGUAGCACUUUAAAGACUAACAAGAUGGUUUAGUAGAUGAUGAGCUUUCGUGGGCCAGACCCACUUCCUCAGAUCAAAUAUUCCACCUCACAAGGCACACUUUGAACAUAGAGAU
Non-coding RNA from Pelodiscus sinensis (Chinese soft-shelled turtle), 5601 nucleotides. NCBI's taxonomy places the organism in Eukaryota, Metazoa, Chordata, Testudines, Trionychidae. The record is from RefSeq and is a predicted model, not a curated record.